RNAcentral lists this ribosomal RNA (465 nucleotides) under uncultured bacterium. RNAcentral describes it as "partial 16S ribosomal RNA". It matches the Rfam family "Bacterial small subunit ribosomal RNA", at positions 28 to 507 of the family's 1533-position model. The record is from RNAcentral.
GACGAACGCUGGCGGCGUGCUUAACACAUGCAAGUCGAACGGAAAGGCCCUGCUUGCAGGGUACUCGAGUGGCGAACGGGUGAGUAACACGUGGGUGAUCUGCCCUGCACUUCGGGGUAAGCUUGGGAAACUGGGUCUAAUACCGGAUAGGAGCCAUCUUUAGCGUGGUGGUUGGAAAGAUUUUUCGGUGUAGGAUGAGCUCGCGGCCUAUCAGCUUGUUGGUGGGGUAAUGGCCUACCAAGGCGGCGACGGGUAGCCGGCCUGAGAGGGUGUACGGCCACAUUGGGACUGAGAUACGGUCCAGACUCCGACGGGUGGCAGCAGUGGGGAAUAUUGCACAAGGGGCGCAAGCCUGAUGCAGCGACGCCGCGUGGGGGAUGAAGGCCUUCGGGUUGUAAACUCCUUUCGCUAGGGACGAAGCUUUUUGUGACGGUACCUAGAUAAGAAGCACCGGCUAACUACGUG